Molecule: ribosomal RNA, 342 nt
Filed under: uncultured fungus
Lineage: Eukaryota; Fungi
Description: SSU rRNA
Rfam family: Eukaryotic small subunit ribosomal RNA
Source: RNAcentral
AGGUCAUUCAAAUUUCUGCCCUAUCAACUUUCGAUGGUAAGGUAUUGGCUUACCAUGGUUUCAACGGGUAACGGGAAUUAGGGUUCGAUUCCGGAGAGGGAGCCUGAGAAACGGCUACCACAUCCAAGGAAGGCAGCAGGCGCGCAAAUUACCCAAUCCCGACCGGGGAGGUAGUGACAAUAAAUACUGAUACAGGGCUCUUUUGGGUCUUGUAAUUGGAAUGAGUACAAUUUAAACCUCUUAACGAGGAACAAUUGGAGGGCAAGUCUGGUGCCAGCAGCCGCGGUAAUUCCAGCUCCAAUAGCGUAUAUCAAAGUUGUGCAGUUAAAAAGCUCGUAGUUG